This is a non-coding RNA of Drosophila bipectinata, 535 nucleotides long. Lineage: Eukaryota; Metazoa; Arthropoda; Insecta; Diptera; Drosophilidae. The record is from RefSeq and is a predicted model, not a curated record.
UUAUGGUCUUCUGGAAUGCGGUGCCUAUUCCAGGGGCAUAGGAAAUAAAUGUUUUUUCUUAAAUUCCAACAAAUGGAAAAAAAUUAAAAAUCGAUUCAGUACGCGAAUAGAUUGCAACGCUCUAAGAUGCGUUUAGAUGUCGGAAAAUGUUUAAAAUUUGCCGUAUUUCUGGGAAUGGGAAGUGAAGUAUUGGGAGUGAGGUUUUGUUUCUACGAUAAAUGGUCUAUAGCAGAAGGUUAUACUUUUGACCUUUAUUCAGUUUGUAUGCGUUUAAGCUGCUAUGGGGGUAGAAUGAGUGUUUCCAAAUGCCCGAAUCGUCGUCCUCCCCCUGGGAUGGUGUUCGGUAAAUACAAAUACCCACAUGAUGACUUUCCCAAGUGUUGUGAGCGAGAGCUUAAAGAAAGAAAUCCUUAUUUAAAAGGAGGAAGGUUUUAUACACCCGAAUAUUAUUGUUGUACCACCGGAUUUGAUUAAUUUUUUAAUUGAAUAGUUAAAAAAUUCAAUUCUUUUAAUAAAUGGUUCUUGUAUUAAUACA